UGUUCAUUCAGUAUUGUUGUAAUUAUUACAAAUACAUUUUAAAAAAUGUAUUUUUUAUUUUUAAUCUGCCGGUUUUAAUCGGUAUCGGCUUUUUUUGGUCCUCCAAUAAUCUGUAUCGGCGUUGAAAAAUUGAAAUCGGUCGACCUCUACUUCACACAUAUGCUGAGCACUUGUUGGCUGCGGUCCAACUCAUCCAAAACCACCCAAUUGGGUUGAGGUUGGGUGAUUGUGGAGGCCAGGUCAUCUGAUGCAGCACGCCAUCACUCUCCUUCUUGGUCAAAUAGCCCUUAAACAACCUGGAGGUGUGUUGGGUCAUUGUCCUGUUGAAAAACAAAUGAUAGUCCCACUAACCGCAAACCAGAUGGGAUGGCGUAUCGUUACAGAAUGCUGUGGUAGCCAUGCUGGUUAAGUGUGCCUUGAAUCCUAAAUAAAUCACAUCAUGUCACUAGCAAAGCACCAUCACACCACCACCUCAAUGCUUCACGAUGGGAACCACACAUGUGGAGAUCAUCCAUUCACCUACUCUGCGUCUCACAAAGAAGAGGUGGUUGGAACCAAAAAACGCACUUUUGGACUCAUCAGGCCAAAGGACAGAUUUCCACCGGUCUAAUGUCCAUUGGUCAUGUUUCUUGGCCCAAGCAAGUCUCUUCUUCUUGGUGUCCGUUAGUAGUGGUUUCUUUUCAGCAAUUUGUCCAUGAAGGCCUGAUUCUCACACACUCCUUGAUGUGUCUGUUACUUGAACUCUGAAGCAUUUAUUUGGGAUGCAAUCUGAGAUGUAUUUAACUUUCUAAUUUGUCCUCUGCAGCAGAGGUAACUCUGGGUCUUCCUUUCCUGUGGCAGUCAUCAUGAGAGCCAGUUUCAUCAUAGCUCUUGAUGGUUUUUGCAACUGCACUUGAACCUUUCAAAGUUCUUGAAAUUUUCCUGAUUGACAGACCUUCAUGUAAUGAAGGACUGAUGUUUCUCUCUGCUUAUUUGAGCUGUUCUUGCCAUAAGGGCGGCAGGUAUUCUAGUGGUUAGAGCAGUAACCAAAAGGUUUCUGCAUCGAAUCCCUGAGCUGACAAGGAAAAAAUCUGUUGUUCUGCCCUGAACAAGGCAGUUAACCCACUGUUCCCCGGUAGGCCGUCAUUGUAAAUAAGAAUUUGUUCUUAACUUCUUAUGGGCAGGUGGUACGGUAGCGUCCCACCUGGCCAACAUCCGGUGAAAUUGCAGAGCGCGUAAUUCAAAAAUACAAAAUUCAAAUAUUUAACAUUCUUGAAAAUAUAUGUUAUACAUCAAAAUAAAGCUUAACUUCUUGUUAAUCCAGCCGCCGUGUCAGAUUUCAAACAUGCUUUACGGCAAAAGCAAACCAUGCGAUUAUCUGAGGACAGCGCCCCGCAUACAAACACAUGACAAUCAUAUUUCAACCAGGCAGGUGCGCCACAAAAGUCAGACAUUGCGAUAUAAUUCAUGCCUUACCUUUUGAAGAUCUUCUUCUGUUUACACUCCCAGAAACAUCACAAAUGGUCCUUUUGUUCGAUAAUGUUCUUCAUUAUGUCCCAAAAAUUUUAAUUUUAUUAGGCAAGUUUGAUUCAGAAAUACACCGGUUUCAACUCGCCCAACAUGCCUACAAAGUAUCUAAUAAGUUACCUGUAAACUUGGUCCAAACAUAUCAAACAACGUUCCUAAUCCUCAGGUUCCCUAAAACGUAAAUAAUCGAUACAAUUUAAGACGGAAUAAACUGUUUCCAAUACCGGAUAAAAACAACGUGAAGCGCGCUCCAGUUCACACGCAUCAAAACAGUAGACCUGGAGUGACACUUACAAUGAAUAGCACUACUUCUUCAUUUCUCAAAAGAAAAACAUUGAACAAUUUCUAAAGACAUCUAGUGGAAGCCAUGGGAACUGUAACCAGGUUUCUAAUAAUAAGGCUAUCCCAUAGAAAACAAAUGGAAAAUCCUGUGAUCUCAAUUUUAUUUUUUCCCUGGAUGGUUUGUCCUCGGUGUUUUGCCUGCCAUAUCAGUUCUGUUAUACUCACAUAAAUUAUUGUAACAGUUUUAUAAACGUUAGUGUUUUCUAUCCAAAUCUACCAAUUAUAUGCAUAUCCUAGCUUUUGGCCCUGAGUAACAGGCAGUUUACUUUGGGCACACUUUUCAUCCGGAGGUGAAAAUACUGCCCCCUACCCAAGAGAGGUUAACUGACUUGCCUAGUUAAAUUAAGGUUAAAUUUAAAAAAUAAAUAUGGACUCUGUGUAUACCACCCCUACCUUGUCACAACACAACUGAUUGUCUCAAAUGCAUUAAGAAGGAAAGAAAUUCCACAAAUGAACUUUUAGCAAGGCACACCUGUUAAUUGAAAUGCAUUCCAGGUGACUACCUCGUUAAGCUGGUUGAGAGAAUGCCAAGAGUGUGCAAAGCUGUCAUCAAGGCAAAGGGUGGCUACUUUGUAGAAUAAUAGUGAAGACCUCAACACCAUGAAAUAACACACAUGUAAUCAUGUAGCAACCAAAAAAUAUGUAUUUUAUAUUUGAGAUUCUUCAAUGUAGAAAAUAGUAAAAAUAAAGAAAAACCCUUGAAUGAAUAGGUUUUCAAACUUUUGACUAGUAUUGUAUAUGGAAAAACUCAAGCCCCUUAACCAAACCAACACAAUAACACUCAAUUAUCAUUAACAAACAAAUCAUCCACAGCAUGAAAAAAUGUACUUUACUUGAAGCCUGCAGGUAUAAUGCAUUAUGAUGAAGUAAGUUUUAAUACAUUGUAAGACUUCUCAUAAGCAUGUUAUAGCUGUCAUUGAUAUGUUGUAUACUGUAUGUAUCAGUCAUAACAUCUCUUGUCUUUACUAUUCAUAACAUCUGUCAAAUCAUUAUUAUAAUGUUGCCAUGAACGUCUUGCGAAGGUGGGUUACCUUGUGUUCCUACCAACUGUUCCCUGACCUGGUUGUUAUUGAAAGAGCCAUUAUAAAGAAAGACAAGAAUUGCUUCUUGGAAUGCCUUCUGGAUAAACAAAGGUUAUUUUAAUCCCCCAGUCCUUCGCAGUUUCACUCAAAGCUGGCACUGUGAGGCGUAUGGCUUCCCACAUGGCACCCUAUUCCUUGUGUCCCUACCAUAGGUCCCUGGUCAAAAGUAGUGCACUUCAUAGGGAUUAGGGUGCCAUUUGGGACGUAGCCUAUGGGCUGAGUCGUCCAUUAAGCUAACUAACUAACACACAUUCACAGGCUCCCUGCUUUCCUCUGUGCUUUAAUGUGGCAGGUAAUUGCCAGCUCCAUAAUGACCAUCUUACAGGCUGGGCCUGGAAAGGUUGCCUGCUGACUGGCUUUUGAUACACUGCAUUAAUGAAGUUUAUGACUCUUGAGCCCUGGGGAUCUGUCAAGCUCCCUUGUGCCAGGAAGAAAACUUUGCUUAGGUGUUAAAGUGACCUCGCUUUACCUGUAUGAUGAGAAUGUAUUGUAUACCAGAAAGCGCCUCUGCGCUAGAAGUGUCAGGGAAGGGGCAGCUGGGAAAUGCUUUUGCAGAAGUUUGUUUGAGCUUUGAAGAGUGGUUUUGUCAAAGACCUGUUAGCAGUAAUGAUCCAUUUUUUUUCUUCUCCACUGCGUUUUCUGUCUCUUUACUUUACUGGUGCGUAAUCUGUCUCAUCCGCCAUCUUUUUAGAGUACCCACUUUAGUACUCAGAUAAUUAAAACGUUUGUCAUUACAGAGCGACUGCCCCUAUAAAUCAACUAAUCCCCUUUGAAAAUGGCCAAUGUAGCAUCAAUAUGAGUCCGAAACAUUUAUUCUAGUUUAAGAAUUGACUACAAAGUGUAAUUAGGAUAAUUUGAGUAAUAAAGUCAGUCUUGUCUAAAAUGGAGUUUGGAACCUUAGUGUGUCACAUCGAGUAAAUUAAGGUUGGGUUUGGAUUACAAUGUUAACAAAUCAUGCCCCCUUUUGCCAAACUCCACAUGCAAAUCGCCCCUCAGCCCGCAUCGUUCUGUUCAUUAAGUGGGGCUCUGUUGUUUCAUCGCCCCCAAUACUUUCAAUGGAUCCCUGCCAUUUUAAACUGAGUAUCCCUGUACGGAUUGACCAUGCAAUGCAUGCUACCAGCAGGAUGCACAGCCAACUGGUUUGCAUGCCCUGCCGAUGGAACCUAUCAUGCGGAAGUUGGUUGGAGUUCGUUGGUCCCCAGUGGUGACAAAGUGCAUAGUUGGGUGCCAGACUGAUCCCCUGGUCAUGAACGGAUGCCGGGACCUACCAGAAGAAACCACGCUUGUCAGGCAAGACCUCUGACUAAGUGUCAUGCGACACAAUUACCCUUGUGACACCACCUCCGUUGUUGCCAGACUCUCCCUCGACGCCUUUGAUAGUGACCCGAGUUACUGCCAUGAUGACAAACGGCUUCGACUACGACAGGUCCUCACAGUCAACACCACCUCAUAAGAUUGCCUGCUGCAGUUGUUCGAGAGAUGUCCAGUUUACAGCAAAACAUGCACCACAGAGAAGACCAGAAAGGGGAACCCCUUCAGCAUCAUCCAAACAUGCCCUCACUGCAUUCUAUUUCAUAUUUUAUCAUAUCUGAAGUGAAAUAGGAAGGUGAAUGCACCGACCAGGUUGGUUCCACCAGGCUAAUCAUAACCACCAUUGAUAAUGUAAUCAGUGGUGUGUAUCUGACCGAGCAGUAUCUUCGAUGAGCCAGGAGCACAUCUAUGCUACUUUGCCCAUCAAUUCGGCCUCUGUCAAAGACCUCACCUCCAGCCUCACCUCUUGCCUGCUCGCCUCCAGGUUGUCGAUAGGGAGAACAUAAUUAGGUAGGUUUAGUCGGACCUGUUCAAAAUUCAACAUGGUAUGCAGUGCCUUCGGAAAGUAUUCGGACCCCUUGACUCUUAUUCUGAAAUUGAUUAUAUAAAAAUAAUGCCUCAGUAAUCUACACACAAUACCCCAUAAUGACAACAUAAAAACAGGUUCAUACAAAUGUAUAAAAAAAAAACAUAAGUAUUCAGACCUUUUGCUAUGAGACUUGAAAUUGAGCUCAGGUGGUACAUUCAAAUUGAUUGGACAUGCUUUAGAAAGGCACACACCUGUCUAUAUAAGGUCCCACAGAUGAGCAAGAAUGUCUGACCAAAAACCAAGCCAUGAGGUCGAAGGAAUUGUCCGUAGAGCUCCAAGAUGGGAUUGUGUCGAGGCACAAAUCUGGGGAAGGGUACUAAAAAAUGUCUGCAGCAUUGAAGGUCCCCAAGAAUACAGUGGCCUCCUUCCAUUUUAAGAAUGAUGAAGUUUGGAACCACCAAGACUCUUCCUAGAGCAGUUGGGAGACAAGGUACUUGGUCAGAGUGGUGACCAAGAACCCGAUGGUCACUCUGACAGAGCUCUGGAGUUCUUCCUUCCAGAAGGACAACGAUCCAACAAUCAGGCCUUUAUGGUAGAGUGGCCAGACGGAAGCCACUUCUCAGUAAAAGGCACGUGACAGCCCGCUUGGAGUUUGCCAAAAGGCACCUAAAGACUCUCAGACCAUGACAAACAGGAUUCUCUGGUCAGAAACCAAGAUUGAACUAUUUGGCCUGAAUGCCAAGCAUCACGUCUGGAGGAAACCUAGCACCAUCCCUACGGUGAAGCAUGGUGGUGGCAGCAUCAUGCUGCGGGGAUGUUUUUCAGCGGCAGGGACUGGGAGACUCGUCAGGAUGAAGGCAAAAAACACAACGCAGGAGCGGCUUUGGGACAACUCUCUGAAUGUCCUUGAGUGGCCCAGCCAGAGCGCGGACUUGAACCCGAUCAAACAUCUCUGGAGGUACCUGAAAAUAGCUGUGCUGCAACGCUCCCUGUCCAACCUGACAGAGCUUGAGAGGAUCUGCAGAGAAGAAUGGGAGAAACUCCCCAAAUACAGGUGUGACAAGCUUGUAGCGACAUGCCCAAGAAGACUCAAUGCUGUAAUCACUGCUAAAGGUGCUUCAACAAAGUACUGAGUAAAGGGUCUAAAUUCUGAAGUAUCAGUUUUUUAUUUUAUGAAUUAGCAAACAUUUCUGAAAACCUUUUUUUGCUUUGUCAUUAUGGGAUAUUGUGUGUAGAUUGAUGAGGAAAAAAACUACAAUUGAAUCAGUUUUAGAAUAAGAACUUAACAAAAUGUGAAAAAAGUCAAAGGGUCUGAAUACUUUCCGAAGGCACUGUAUGUUUGUGUCAGAUAUCACCUAGCCAUAACUGCCAUUGGUAAUAGAACCGUGACUGUGUGCAUGUGUUCAGAGAUGCAGAGAGACAUGGCACUCAACACAUCCACAAGAACGUGAUUACUAAUAAUACUGUAUAGCACAGAUGUCCAGUAAUAGCAACACCAUUUUCAUUCCAUGUGUCACUGACGAACUCUGCUUAUUAUUUCUACAGAUGGACUGGACAUGCUUUUGCCAUAUUUCAGCCUCAUUCAUUUGAUAGGGAGACUAGAGUUGGGACAGUUGUAUCCUAUCCUAACUGCCAUUGUUAGUAGAACAGUGACUGUGUGUAUGUGUUCAUGGAAACAUUUAUAGAGCCAGCACAUGGAGAUUUGCAAGAUGAUGUGAUGAAGUCCUGACUGACAGACAGACAGACAGACAGACAGACAGGCUUGAUAUUGAAGUCUCUAAAUGGAGAGAGACCUGGCACUCGACAUUAAACUUUUACUGGACACAA
Oncorhynchus nerka (sockeye salmon) is the source of this 6597-nucleotide long non-coding RNA. RefSeq lists it as uncharacterized. The transcript is spliced from 4 exons. The record is from RefSeq and is a predicted model, not a curated record. Lineage: Eukaryota; Metazoa; Chordata; Actinopteri; Salmoniformes; Salmonidae.